GUGCUUACUUUGGCAGCACAUAUACUAAAAUUGGAACGAUACAGAGAAGAUUAGCAUGGGCCCUGCACAAGGAUGACAUGCAGAUUCGUGAAGCAUUCUAUAUUUUU
RNAcentral lists this small nuclear RNA (107 nucleotides) under Notamacropus eugenii (tammar wallaby). The record is from RNAcentral. Lineage: Eukaryota; Metazoa; Chordata; Mammalia; Diprotodontia; Macropodidae.